GCUUUGAAUACUACUUUUAAGUAUCUUGAUCAAAAAGAUUGCGUACAAGUGCAGGCCAAAUAUACUUGGACUUUUCUCUCAAGUAGGGCCUAUACCUAAUGUAAUUUUAAGUAUAUUUCUGAGAGGUACAUAAAGUAUAUUUUUGAGAAGUAUAUAAAAUGUAGACUGAAAGUAUACUUUCUUAUUUUUUAGUUGAAAAGAAGUAAUAGAACAAUUUUGGUAAGUGUUAGCCUUACUAAAUGUAUAGUUUUAUCAAAUUGCUGUAGGCUGCAGUAAAAUCUGUCAAAUAUCAACUGCAAAUUUGAAUGAAUUGAUUUACCUUUUACUAACUGGCAGCCUUAAGUAAGAUAACAGUUUUUGCAGUUCUACUAUAAAUCUUGCGUACAUAUAAAUAUACUAAUUAUACUGAUUACUCUGUUGUACAACCCACAAAAAAACAUGAAAACGUGUGUGUUAUGAUUACAUCACAAAUUAAAAAGGUACAAUAUUAAAGAUAAUAGAUAUUUGCCUAAGUAUCAGGCGCUUAUCCACGCGUACGUUAUCCACGCGCUUAUCCACACGUAGGUUAUCACACGUCAUUGGUCACGGCAAUGUACGUGACGAUCGACACGAUGAUUGCUUAGUUUGCAAAGUAAGUGCACACAUCACACCUCAUAGGCGACGCCUCGAAGCACAGCCAAUCCUUUACACCAACGCCGGCGAAAGAUCAGUUUCAAGAGGAGAUGGUGAUCCGACCACUGCACUCCGGAGACAUCUAUGCCAGCUUUCAGUUCCGUACACUGUGGGACACUGAUUUUCUGCAAGAGAGAAAGACAGUUUCCCAUUACUGGCUGUUCCCUAAAUCCCUCGGCCAAGUGCUCUCCAAGUUUUCCGUGCAGGAGCUGCACAUCUCCUCCACCCAGGGCUUCUGGAGAACCAUGCAGUGGGGGCAGCCCUUCAUCCCCUCUCCACCUGGAGCAGAGCUUUGGGUGUGGUUCCAUCAUACAGUCACUGAUGUGUAUGGAAACUGGAAAGAGCUUACAAAUGUGCUCUCUGGAAUCUUCUGUGCAUCUCUGAACUUCAUUGAUUCAACCAACACAGGACAGCCCAGUGCUGGGCUGAGAAACGCUACAGAUCACCGUUUUUUGCGUUAUGCAACAUUGCCCUGUGAAAUCGUAUGCACUGAGAAUCUGACCCCCUGGAAGAAGCUUCUCCCUUGUGGUUCUAAGGCUGGUCUGGCCGUGCUGAUGAAGUCAGAGAAGCUGUUUCACAGCAGUUUCCACUCUCAGACGGUUCACAUCAGACCUCUCUGUCAGGAUGCGCUGUGCACCAAUACAGCAUGGGAGCUGAGACAAACCCUCAGUGUGAUGUUUGAUCUCUAAACUUUAGGCCAAGGGAAAAAGGGGGGAGCUGUUUGAGCUGAGCCCUGCCACUCCUCUCCUCAGCCAAGCCGUGGUGCUGGGAGAUCGCAGAACGUAUUCAGUAUAUGACCUUACCAAUGCAGAGACCUUUGGGCAGUUGCGUUCACUCAAUCUCCUACUGCAUACCCAGGAUGCAUGGAAAGGAAACAGUGGUAUGAAUGAAUAAAUGAAUUUAAAAAAGCUGAGAUCAGGAGAGUACAUCUGAGGAACAAAUUUGCCUUUAUUCUGAUUUUUGGACAUUUAAUUUUAAACAGUGCUGACAUUUUCCUUAUUAAUUUUGUAUAUACAUUACUAGACCAAUCAUUCACAAACAUCUUUUGUGUUCUCUCUGUGUUGUAGUUGAUCUGCUGCGCCUGCUGCUGCAUGCAGAGCGCUAUGUGGCCGAGUUUGGGCUACAGACAGGGGAAAUCCACACAGUCAUCUAUAAUAAUCACCCAUAUCGAGCUUUUCCAGUACUGCUGCUGGAUUCAGUGCCCUGGCUACAUUCACUCAUCUGCUGGAGAUGCUGAUCCAGUUACCCCCUCACUCUAUGACAGAGGUCACUGUACAGUUUGGGAGAGCCCUGCUUAAAUGGACUGAAUACACCAGUGAUCCCAACCAUGGCUUCUACGUUGGAAUUGGGACAAAAACAUGGUUUGCCUUAUUUCUGACUCUACUUCUGUAAAUGUUUUAUAUCAGAUCCUCUGUGGUAAGUGCCCUUGUGCCAAGUACGGUCGCAAUGGACACCAACUUCACACAACAACAACCAUUGUUUAGCAGUUUGUAAGUAUGAGUUGGCCGUAGUGUUACUACUAAACAAAGAUGCACAAUUUCUUGCUCUUUAUAACUCCCCCCUCUGUUCCCAGCUUCCCAGUCAAAGAGGAGUCCAGCUAAUUUGUGCGAGUGUAUACCGAACCCCUGCUGGUAAAUCUACCCACACCUGAUUUCAGCAUGCCCUACAACGUGAUCUGCCUCACCUGCACGGUGGUCACGGUGGGUUACAGCUCCUUUUACAACUUACUGACCCGCACAUUUCAAGUAGAUGAACCGAGCCCACCGCUGGCAAAGCGGUUGGCCAACUUCAUUCGUCGCAUAAGGGGAGUGCCGCUGCUAACCUAAGAACAGCCAAGAACAUUUCUUGGGCCUGAAACAUACAUAUUAGGUGUAGAGGUCGACCGAUUAAUCGGCCGAUUUUUUGCAUUUUUUACAUAAUCGGCAUCGGCCAAUAUCCACGCAUAUCAAGCCGAUUAUUAGGCAGGCGCAUCUGUGGGCAGCCUAGUGUUGUUGUGGAACACGUGUUCGACGCACGCUGCCCCUAGAGUCAUUUUCCAGCAGAGUGAACAGACCUCAUCCAGUGCCUAAGGAAGGAGCUAAGUUCCUUGGAGAAAACAGUAAGGGUUAAAUUUGUAUAACUUCUUUAGAUUUAAUUAAAAACUUUUGAUAUGUUACUGCCAACUUCAAGAAAAACAUGACAAACGCGAUAGUUGACAUGACGUUCGGCUACUUUGGAUAUUGAUAGCGUAGUUGAAGUUGCAUUAUCACAGCAGAAGGGUUGCUAUCAUGUCACAAUAAGUAAGCAAGAAUUUUGCAAUUACAGACAGUGAAUCUGAGACUUUAAUUUGUUCUGUUUGUGUGUCUUAUAUUUGAGAGGGUUGUCACUCAAUGCAGAGAAAUAAGUAAUAAAAAAGAUACCAAUGCACUAUAGGCUAGUGAAGGACUGGCUUUGGUAAGCUUGGACGUUAUCGGUUCUGCUGUCGGUACUGGAGAAAUUAAGAAAAUACAUUCUUUAUUGCUAUAAAGAGAAAGUUAUUUUAUCUCGCCAGCCAUUUCUAUGUAUAAUAAUAAUAAUAUGAAACCAUUCUCUGUGAUGCAAUUUAGCUAUUCGCAGUCAGAGAGAGAGAGAGAGAUCUCGCUCACGCGGUGCCACAGCGAGCACAACACGAGCCCAACACGAGCACAGCUUAAUGAGUGACAGAACUAAACAUUCAAACGUAGCCUGGUUUAGAUCUGUGAUUAUUAGUCUGAUUUUAUUUUAGAUUUCGCCUUCCAAAGAUUAUAAAAAGAAUAUUUAUACAUAAGCCGCAUUCUGUCUGGCACAACUUUCUUCCCUUCACAGCGGUGCACUGACAUUUCUCCCUAAAACUCAAACUUAACGUCAGAAUCAGCACGAUCGGUGAUUGUUGUAAAAUGCAGUCUAGCUACUGUUGCUAAAUUGCGGGACGCUUAUAAUAAUAAAAAGAGCGCAAGAGAUACCGUUCCCAAGGCGGCGCGCGCUCCGAAACACACCGCAAAGAGACAAGCAAAGUAUAAGCUACUUUGGGUUUCAUGCGUCUAAACGAUCAACUAUACUAAAAAUAUGUCAAAACGACCGGCUUGGAGAUUCACUUAAACACAGUUUAUGUCUUAAAUGGACGUAGUUAUGGAAAUAGUUGGGAAAAAAUAUGCUGCAUUAGGAGUCUAUUAGAUCUGAACUCGGUCUUAAAGGGGAAGCGGUCUAAUGAAAAUGUUGACGAUUGAGCCAUUACUGCGAAUCAAACAACAAAAGGCAAAGAGAAAAUCACUUACAGCUCUUGAAUGAAUAACUUCUGCAUUAAUCUAUCUAUGAUAAACUAUGCAGUGUUAUUUUACAAUUGAUUACUUUAUUAGAUUUCUUUUUAGACCACACCUGAACAGUAAUGUUAGUAGACCUUCCUGAAAUUAAAUCACUGUGCCUAUAUAACGUUUAUAUUUGUGUAAUAUAUAUAUAUAUAUAUAAACAAAAAGAACCGUUAAGAAUACCGUUAAAGUACCGGAUCGAAAAACAGUAUUGGUAAGAGUAGUAAUACCAUUAAAACCUUAACGAUACCCAUCCCUAGUUAUGCCUGUGCUUCUCUUGGAUGCUCUGAAUAUUGGAUUACGUGUCUGGAUUGCCCCUUAAUUAAAGCUUCAUUUGGAUCUCAACCUUCGUGUCUCGGAGCAGUUCGUAACACCUGCUUUGUUUAUUUAAUAUAUUUGUUAUACAUUAUUUAUACAAUAUGUUUUUACAUUAUACAUUUUUAAUUUUAAGUGUACAAGUGCAGAUUGGUCAAGUGUUCAAUAAAUGUAUUU
Molecule: RNA transcript, 4466 nt
Organism: Xyrauchen texanus (razorback sucker)
Lineage: Eukaryota; Metazoa; Chordata; Actinopteri; Cypriniformes; Catostomidae
Gene name: GPI transamidase component PIG-T-like
Exons: 9
Source: RefSeq, a predicted model, not a curated record